RNAcentral lists this ribosomal RNA (467 nucleotides) under uncultured bacterium. RNAcentral describes it as "partial 16S ribosomal RNA". It matches the Rfam family "Bacterial small subunit ribosomal RNA", at positions 28 to 507 of the family's 1533-position model. The record is from RNAcentral.
GACGAACGCUGGCGGCGUGCUUAACACAUGCAAGUCGAACGGAAAGGCUCCAGCUUGCUGGAGUACUCGAGUGGCGAACGGGUGAGUAACACGUGGGUAAUCUGCCCUGCACUCUGGGAUAAGCCUGGGAAACUGGGUCUAAUACUGGAUAUGACCUUUCUCCUUAUGGGGUUUGGUGGAAAGUUUUUCGGUGUAGGAUGAGCCCGCGGCCUAUCAGCUUGUUGGUGGGGUGAUGGCCUACCAAGGCGACGACGGGUAGCCGGCCUGAGAGGGUGAUCGGCCACAUUGGGACUGAGAUACGGCCCAGACUCCUACGGGAGGCAGCAGUGGGGAAUAUUGCACAAUGGGCGGAAGCCUGAUGCAGCGACGCCGCGUGAGGGAUGACGGCCUUCGGGUUGUAAACCUAUUUCAGCAGGGACGAAGAGUAAGUGACGGUACCUGAAGAAGAAGCACCGGCUAACUAUGUG